UAGGGAAUCUUCCGCAAUGGGCGAAAGCCUGACGGAGCAACGCCGCGUGAGUGAUGAAGGUCUUCGGAUCGUAAAACUCUGUUAUUAGGGAAGAACAAAUGUGUAAGUAACUAUGCACGUCUUGACGGUACCUAAUCAGAAAGCCACGGCUAACUACGUGCCAGCAGCCGCGGUAAUACGUAGGUGGCAAGUGUUAUCCGGAAUUAUUGGGCGUAAAGCGCGCGUAGGCGGUUUUUUAAGUCUGAUGUGAAAGCCCACGGCUCAACCGUGGAGGGUCAUUGGAAACUGGAAAACUUGAGUGCAGAAGAGGAAAGUGGAAUUCCAUGUGUAGCGAUGAAAUGCGCAGAGAUAUGGAGGAACACCAGUGGCGAAGGCGACUUUCUGGUCUGUAACUGACGCUGAUGUGCGAAAGCGUGGGGAUCAAACAGG
This 429-nucleotide ribosomal RNA is filed under the name Actinomycetes bacterium. RNAcentral's name for it is "Actinobacteria bacterium partial 16S ribosomal RNA". It matches the Rfam family "Bacterial small subunit ribosomal RNA", at positions 355 to 776 of the family's 1533-position model. The record is from RNAcentral. Lineage: Bacteria; Bacillati; Actinomycetota; Actinomycetes.